ACCCACCUGCUCGAUUUCCUUUAGCUUCUUGUGAUAGUGCUCCAACUUUUUGUGCAAGUGUGCGAUAGUCUGUGCCGACUUUUGGUUCUUCUUCUCAAACACCUGUUUGAUCCUAGACGCCUGCUGCUUGUCGGCGUUGUGGGCCAACUUCAGGUGCUCCAGGGCGGCCCGCGUCCGAUGAGGCUCGCCGGCCCCCAUGCCGCCCUCCGCGCCUGCUGCUGUGACCCCCGAUGAUGACCCCGCCGCUCCCUCUGCGCUGAUGUUACUGUCAGAGCCGCCAUGGCUGGUGGUGGCGGGGAGGCUGAGCGUCGUCGCCUCGCUCUUGUCCAGCUGCGAGGAUGAGAAGGUACAGUCAUAAACAACAUAAACGAACACCUGCGAAAGGGGUGAUGAUUCAGAAUGGAUUCUUGAUUUGGUGAACGUCGUUUUGUCCUAAUAAUUUCGGCGGUUCUUGAACUCACCAUAGUGUGAACUGUGACGCAACAGUUUGUUUACAUGUAAAAUCUUCCACUCCUUCUUUGUCUCAUUUUGUCCACCAAAAGUUUCAUGCUCUGCGUAAAUGCCCAAAGGUGCACUUUGUUGAUGUUAGGGCAGGGGUCACCAACCUUUUUGAAAUCAAGGGCUACUUCUUGGGUACUGAUUAAUGCGAAGGGCUACCAGUUAGAUACACACUUAAAUAAAUUGCCAGAAGUAGCCAAUUUGCUCAAUUUACCUUUAACUCUGUUAUUAUUAAUAAUUAAUGAUAUUUAUCUUUGUGGAAACACUGAUCAUCUUAAUGAUUUCUCACAAUAAAUAUAUAUAGAAACAGAUAAAUAUCAAUAUGCAACACUUUAUUUUUAUAUUUUCUCUAAGUGCACAUUUUUCAAAUUGAACAUUUUCAAAUGAUCACUUCUAAGACAGUUUUGUGAAAUCACAAUAUCCCAUUUUAACUAGCU
This is a long non-coding RNA of Entelurus aequoreus (snake pipefish), 935 nucleotides long. RefSeq lists it as uncharacterized. The record is from RefSeq and is a predicted model, not a curated record. NCBI's taxonomy places the organism in Eukaryota, Metazoa, Chordata, Actinopteri, Syngnathiformes, Syngnathidae. The transcript is spliced from 3 exons.